RNAcentral lists this ribosomal RNA (434 nucleotides) under uncultured bacterium. RNAcentral describes it as "partial 16S ribosomal RNA". It matches the Rfam family "Bacterial small subunit ribosomal RNA", at positions 29 to 507 of the family's 1533-position model. The record is from RNAcentral.
AUGAACGCUGGCGGUAUGCUUAACACAUGCAAGUCGAACGGACUCUUCGGAGUUAGUGGCGGACGGGUGAGUAACGCGUGAGAAUCUGGCUUUGGGUUCGGGACAACCACUGGAAACGGUGGCUAAUACCGGAUGUGCCGAGAGGUAAAAGAGAAAUUGCCUGAAGAUGAGCUCGCGUCUGAUUAGCUAGUUGGUGAGGUAAAGGCUCACCAAGGCAGCGAUCAGUAGCUGGUCUGAGAGGAUGACCAGCCACACUGGGACUGAGACACGGCCCAGACUCCUACGGGAGGCAGCAGUGGGGAAUUUUCCGCAAUGGGCGAAAGCCUGACGGAGCAAUACCGCGUAAGGGAAGAAGGCUCUUGGGUUGUAAACCUCUUUUCUUAGGGAAGAACAAAAUGACGGUACCUAAGGAAUCAGCAUCGGCUAACUCCGUG